AAAAAAAUUAAAUAAAUAAUUAAAAUAUAACAAAUUAUUUUGGACUUGGGUCUCCCUCAUUCCAAGCCCACAAGUCCACGAAAAUCAGCUAUAAAUAUAAGAGUUUCAGUAGGGUUUCAGACACUUGGAAAUUCCUUGAGAAAUAGACUUGGAGUUCACGUGGAGUUUCAAACCUAGGAACUACUCUGCAGCAACCUUCGGGCAGCCCUGAGAAGUUCAUUCC
This 223-nucleotide long non-coding RNA is filed under the name Lathyrus oleraceus (garden pea). Its description in RNAcentral is "Pisum sativum (pea) long non-coding RNA (PSAT_LNC030882)". Lineage: Eukaryota; Viridiplantae; Streptophyta; Magnoliopsida; Fabales; Fabaceae. The record is from RNAcentral.